Molecule: long non-coding RNA, 2618 nt
Filed under: Salmo salar (Atlantic salmon)
Lineage: Eukaryota; Metazoa; Chordata; Actinopteri; Salmoniformes; Salmonidae
Description: lncRNA (ENSSSAG00000087580.1, ENSSSAG00000107413.1)
Rfam family: UnaL2 LINE 3' element (bases 332-385)
Source: RNAcentral
GAGGGGUUAAAGUGUGGCACGCCACCUCAGGUGACACCCGGGCAGAAGGCCGCUUCCUUAAUUACACUGUUGCCUCUUACUGAUGUGUCAAUGUGAAUUAACCUACUACCCCCCCUUCACGUGUACAGAAACACACCACUAAUGUGCACGUUGGUGGUUAGCAGCUACCAUGGGGGUGUUUACAAUUCUCCCUGGCUAGCAGCUAUUCAAGUUAGACGGUGUCAAGAGAUGCCAUGUACAGCUCAGCAUCCCGUGUGGCUCAGUUGGUAGAGCAUGGUGUUCGAUUCCCACGGGGGACCAGUACGGGGGGGAAAAAAAUGUAUGAAAUGUAUGCAUUCACUACUGUAUGUCGCUCUGGAUAAGAGCGUCUGCUAAAUGACAAAAAAAAAAGAAGAAAAAAAAAAAGAGAGAGAGAUCAGGUGUUGAGGACAACAACAAAAUAAACGACAGUGACUCUACAUAGAAGUAGAGUAACCGUGGUUACAGAAUCCUGUUGCCACAGCUGCCGUUAUGAGUGUGUGUGUGUGUGUGGGCCUGUCCACUAAAACCCUCACCAGAUGGUCGACACCUCGCCACGUCGCCAUAACAACCCUCACUAGGCCUAAACACACUGCUACAACACACAGACCGACCAAGCUGAGGCUCUGGCUGCCUCGACCGAGACACUAAAGCCCUGUCAUUAAACCAGGCAUCCUGUUAACCAGCGGCGUGUGUUUCUAUGUUUUACAGCGUUCAGACAGUAUGCAUGGACAGGUCAGUGUUGGUGGUUAGCUAUGGACAGGUCAGUGUUGGUGGUUAGCUAUGGACAGGUCAGUGUUGGUGGUUAGCUGUGUGUUAGCUAUGGACAGGUCAGUGUUGGUGGAUAGCUGUGUAUUAGCUAUGGACAGGUCAGUGUUGGUGGAUAGCUGUGUAUUAGCUAUGGACAGGUCAGUGUUGGUGGAUAGCUGUGUGUUAGCUAUGGACAGGUCAGUGUUGGUGGAUAGCUGUGUAUUAGCUAUGGACAGGUCAGUGUUGGUGGUUAGCUGUGUAUUAGCUAUGGACAGGUCAGUGUUGGUGGAUAGCUGUGUGUUAGCUAUGGACAGGUCAGUGUUGGUGGAUAGCUGUGUGUUAGCUAUGGACAGGUCAGUGUUGGUGGUUAGCUGUGUAUUAGCUAUGGACAGGUCAGUGUUGGUGGAUAGCUGUGUAUUAGCUAUGGACAGGUCAGUGUUGGUGGAUAGCUGUGUGUUAGCUAUGGACAGGUCAGUGUUGGUGGUUAGCUAUGGACAGGUCAGUGUUGGUGGAUAGCUGUGUAUUAGCUAUGGACAGGUCAGUGUUGGUGGUUAGCUAUGGACAGGUCAGUGUUGGUGGAUAGCUGUGUAUUAGCUAUGGACAGGUCAGUGUUGGUGGAUAGCUGUGUAUUAGCUAUGGACAGGUCAGUGUUGGUGGUUAGCUGUGUAUUAGCUAUGGACAGGUCAGUGUUGGUGGAUAGCUGUGUAUUAGCUAUGGACAGGUCAGUGUUGGUGGAUAGCUGUGUAUUAGCUAUGGACAGGUCAGUGUUGGUGGAUAGCUGUGUAUUAGCUAUGGACAGGUCAGUGUUGGUGGAUAGCUGUGUAUUAGCUAUGGACAGGUCAGUGUUGGUGGAUAGCUGUGUGUUAGCUAUGGACAGGUCAGUGCGUGUUCUCGGUUAGCUGUGUGUGUGUGUGUGUGUGUGUGUGUGUGUGUGUGUGUGUGUGUGUGUGUGUGUGUGUGUGUGUAUAGGGCAGGCUUAGGGAACUGUGUGUUGAUUGUUAGGGCUGGGAUAAUACCAGUAUCGUAAAUAUUGCAAAUCUUUCCAUGGCAACAAAAAAAAAAACGGUCCUUUAAAAACAUGCUGUAUGCACAAUAUUGCGUUCUAUAACCUGGGAAAUAAAUACAAGUGACUCUGGAUGACAUCAUAAUGAUGCUUGUUUCCAACAUUAGAGCUGUUUUCCUAAAGGAGUUACAUCUGAUAAAUGUUUUGUUUCCUUGCCACGAUACUAAGGAACAUGGCGAUGCCGCUACGGUCCCGCUCUAGUGACUGUGUCUGAUAUAGACAGGUCCUUGUAUAUGGACUGCUAAGUGUGUUUGUGGGCAGGUCAAUGUGUUCUUGGACUGUCGUCCUGCGUUACAGUCACAGGCUCAACCCUUCGCUCCACCUCAGGCUUUUCCUCUACUACUAACACAGAACAGGGACAUUUACAGAACUAACAGUGACAGUCAAACAGGGGAGGCCACUUACUACUAAAACAUGACAGCAGAUCAGUUUGCCCAGGCUCCUUUGUCACACACUGUCCCGUAUACUACACACUGGUAUACUACGCACUAUGUACUCAUCGUUGCUUACUAACCUCCAGAAGACAAGGUCAGUACAGGUGCAUCAAAGCUGGGACCGAGAGACAAAAAAAACCAGCUUCUAUCUCAAGGCCAUCAGACUGUUAAAUAACCAUCCCUAGCCAGCUACCACCUGGUUACUCAACCCUGUACCGUAGAGGCUGCUGCCCUAUAUACAUAGACAUGGAAUCACUGACCACUUUAAUAAUGUUUACAUACUGCUUUACUCAUCUCAUAUGUAUAUACUGUAUUGUAUUUUACUGUAUUUUAGGCUAUGCCACUCUGACAUU